GGUUAGCUUGAUCCAAUCGUUGGAAUUCACUCCCGAGUUAACUCAGUUCGGACCGCCCUAAGUUGACUCGUUCCUAGAUCCGAUCAGUAAGGUUCCACUCUUGGGGCCUGAUUUGACUUGGCUCUUUCCUUCCCCAUCCCACCCACCUCCGACCCAAGUAGCCACCACCAGACGGUGACCACCCAUAGCCCCAAUGUCUCAUCUCGGCCAGCUCGGAUCAUGUUGUCCUAUCGAAGCUCAGCCAUAGAGUUCCCUUCUCCACUCGACGGGCACCCAGUCGGUGCAUAGAGUCAGCCGCACUGGAAACAAACACCAUCGAGGUUCUCGUACAUGAACC
This 337-nucleotide long non-coding RNA is filed under the name Elaeis guineensis (African oil palm). RNAcentral's name for it is "long non-coding RNA (EGUI_LNC024775)". The record is from RNAcentral. Lineage: Eukaryota; Viridiplantae; Streptophyta; Magnoliopsida; Arecales; Arecaceae.